This 200-nucleotide long non-coding RNA is filed under the name Phoenix dactylifera (date palm). Its description in RNAcentral is "long non-coding RNA (PDAC_LNC020811)". Lineage: Eukaryota; Viridiplantae; Streptophyta; Magnoliopsida; Arecales; Arecaceae. The record is from RNAcentral.
UCACACACACUAGAAGUAUUGACCGAUCCGAUGGUUGAAAUCGUGAUUAGGAAUCACAAGUAAUCAAUUUGAUUGAUAAGAAGUUGAAGAAGGAACAAAGGGAAUUAAUUAAUUGGACUUAAACACAAAUCCUACUUCGGGUAGGAUUCCUAGAGUCCUAAUUGGAUUAGGACUGGAAAUCCUAGUUGGAGUAGGACUGG